AGUACCAAUACUUCAAUUUUUGCAUUUUCGAACUUAACAGGAUCUCCUAUGUGAAUCAAGAACCAAAUAAGGAAGUAAGUUAUUCAUAUGUGCAACAACGUACAAAGUUUCUGAAUAGACAUGUGAUCUAUGAAGAAUUGGUGAGCAUCUACAUAUAGGUUAGGAUUUCGCACAUAACUCGAAUGAUUAUGUUUUAUACAAGAGGUGAUGACUAAUAUGUGACCAUACGAUCAUUUCCUUAUUGAUUGUCUUUAGAACGAAGAUGUGCAUAUUUUUAUAGAACUGAUAUUUUAACGAUUUAUGUCAUGGUCAUAAACGCGUUAACAAAGAAUAUUCAUGGAUGAUCCGAUUUUCACGAUAUUAAUUGGCUAAUUAGAUUAUAUGGUACAUCAACAUUUUUUAUAAAGUCAACAACGCUUAUAAAAGCGUCAAGACGUCAAUUACCAUGUCGACCCAGUUACGGAGUCUUCCCUUCUGAAAAUUCCAGGCAAUCAACAUGUUACACUUAAAAUUAAUUACCAAGAAGAGUAUUUCUAUAACAAAGCCAUACAACUUUCACGAAAAAGGCUAAACUAAUAAAUAAUAAUCAAUAUAAAAUAUCACCAUUAUCAUUAAAACUAGAACAGAAAUUCUUUUGACAUGAAAUUCUGCCACAAAUAAAAAGUUACAGCAGUUAUUUAAGUACCAAAAAAAGAAACUCGUCACUGUUCUCGACAGUUCCCAAAGCAAGUCGCAUUAUUCUAUAACUAAGCGUACCAGCGGAGGAGAGCUGAAUCACACCCUAUUUGAUCAAAUUGAAAUAACAACCCUCAUCAACAUUAAAUUGUAUGCGUGAUUACUCUCUGAAUGAAGUUCAUGGAAAAUACUUGAAGACAUUAAAAAUUUUUAUAUAUUCUAACAUUUUUCUUCAGUUUUUACUUGACAUUCAUUCUAAUUUAUUUCUGCUGAUAGUCGCCUUCGUGAAAUACAUCAUUCACCUUCCAGUCGUGAAACAAAGAUCUCCCCGAGAAGCAGCUUUAAAAUUUAUGGCGACAAAACCACAUAGAAGAGAGCGGAGACGUGAUGACAAAGUGUGUCAAUGUCAAACUUCAGACGAUGUUUCGAACUUCUCUCUCAGAGAACGAUUCGUUCUUUCUCUGUGCGUUUUUCUUAAACGUUCACGGAAUUCUUAAGUUUCUCGUUAAGACUCUGCGUGGGAGAACAUGGUUAUCAUGACGUCAUCUUCUGGAGGUUUUACUGAUCGAUAAAACACGUCACAAUGGUCACUAAUAUGGAUUGGUCUUACGUCCAUUUGUUACGUAGCGAGUUACCACUAUACGCGUUGCUCCACCUCAAAAAACAGCAAAGAAUAUCAAGAUAAAGAAACAAAAAGAAACCGCUCGCUAAUUUAGAAACAAUUUGUUGGAAUGAAAAAUAGGUGUUGAUAACACAGCCAGGAUGAUAAAAGAACGAUUGAAUGAGGAGGUUGACUGAUGUUGUCGUACGACGACUUCGCAUCGCCACUACUGACUUGAGUACAAAUGGGAUCUGAGGUUAACGUGCUGUGAUGUCAUUCGCUGAUAUCAUAGUGUCCAUCUUUUACUUUAGUAUCCUGACAAGAAGAAAAAAUUCAGCAAAAGCACAGCUUUUCGACUUUUCAAAUUGUUCCUUCAAUUUCAAUCUCCAUAAUAAUUCAACGACAUGUGUACUUACAUCAUUGUCACGUGUGAUAUACCUACACAUUUAAUUAAAGUCUAUAAUUAAAAGAAAAUUUAGAAGAAAAUUAAAUAAGUAUUAUGCCCUUGUAUUCCUUUCUUAAAUUGACGAGAAUUGAGAAUUGAGAAGCAUUAUCAGUGAAACAACACUAAACGAGUUUACCAUAUGAAGAAGGAUAAAUGUUACAGUACCGAAUUUUCUUUGUAAACUUGUGAAACUUGAUAACCGAUUGUAACAUUCGCACUACGUAUGUAGAUUUGCAACAUGAUCCAGAUGUAACUACUUAUAGCACUUAUGCACGAAUAUAUUUGCUACAUAAACGAUACAGCUCAACUAAAUUUAAUUAAAUAAAUUAAACUGU
Long non-coding RNA from Frieseomelitta varia, 2056 nucleotides. RefSeq lists it as uncharacterized. The transcript has 7 exons. The record is from RefSeq and is a predicted model, not a curated record. NCBI's taxonomy places the organism in Eukaryota, Metazoa, Arthropoda, Insecta, Hymenoptera, Apidae.